This 393-nucleotide ribosomal RNA is filed under the name uncultured bacterium. Its description in RNAcentral is "partial 16S ribosomal RNA". It matches the Rfam family "Bacterial small subunit ribosomal RNA", at positions 523 to 918 of the family's 1533-position model. The record is from RNAcentral.
AUACGGAGGAUGCGAGCGUUAUCCGGAUUUAUUGGGUUUAAAGGGUGCGUAGGCGGCCUUGUAAGUCAGCGGUGAAAUUUUGCAGCUUAACUGUAAAAGUGCCGUUGAUACUGUGAGGCUAGGAUUUGGUUGCUGUGGGUGGAAUGUGUGGUGUAGCGGUGAAAUGCUUAGAGAUCACACAGAAUAUCGAUUGCGAAGGCAGCUCACAAAGCCAAGAUUGACGCUGAGGCACGAAAGUGUGGGGACCAAACAGGAUUAGAUACCCUGGUAGUCCACACUGUAAACGAUGAUAACUCGCUGUCGGCGAUAUACAGUCGGUGGCCAAGCGAAAGCGAUAAGUUAUCCACCUGGGGAGUACGACCGCAAGGUUGAAACUCAAAUGAAUUGACGGGG